CUUUGAUGGCUAACGUGGGCAAGG
This 24-nucleotide non-coding RNA is filed under the name Rattus norvegicus (Norway rat). Lineage: Eukaryota; Metazoa; Chordata; Mammalia; Rodentia; Muridae. The record is from RNAcentral.